GCGGCGGUGCGACAGAGCGGGGCUGCGACAGCGCGACAGCGCUACAGCCUGAGCCGCGACAGUGCGACAGUGUGACAGUGCAUAUUUGCAGUAGACUGAGUUGCAACAGCGCGACACCGUGCCAGUGUGACAGCCUGAGCUGCGACAGUGCGACACUGCAACAGUGAGCUGCAACAGUGAGACAGCAUAGCAGUGCAAUGCUGCGGCAGCCUGAGCUGGAAUAGUGCAGCUGUGUGACAGAGCAACAGUGCAACAGUGUGAGCUGCAGCAGAGCUACCUCUGCGCUGCAACGGUGAGGCAGUGCAACAGCACAAUAGUGUGCAAUGCAACACUGCAGCACUGCAACAACGCAGUAGUGAAACAGCCUGUUCUGUAACAGUGCAACACUGCAAGAGUGCAAGAGCCGCCACUACAACUGCGCAACAGUGCAACAGCACAACUGUCUGCAAGAGCUCAUGUUGCAACAGUGCAACGCUGCAGCAGCGCAAACAUCUGGUGCUGCAACCGUGCAUCCAGCAGUGCUGUAUGUAGCACUGCAACACACAGCAUCACAUCACUGCUGCAACACUGCAACACCACAACGCUCAGUGCAUGCAGCGCAGCGACGCUGAACCUGCGGCACUCCGUUCUGCAACCAUGCACCCAGCAUUGCAGCUCUGUGCCCAGUACUGCAACACUGCUCUCGCUUUGCCCACUGCACUGCUCUGACAUCAUCUCACAUUGCUCUGACGUCAUCACACACUGCCGGGAUGUCUUCACACGGCACUGCUGUGGUGUCAUUCCACACUGCUGGGUCACCACACACCGUUCUGACGUCAUCCUACAUGGCUGUGAUGCAAACCCGCACCACUCUGAUGUCAUUCCGCACCGCUCCGAUGUCACUGCGCACUGCUGAUGUCAUCCCACGCCACUACAGUGUGACCUCACAUCGCCGUGACGUCACCUCACAUCAUCCCACACUGAGGACGUCACCCACACCGGUCCAAUGGCAUCCCACACCACUCUGAUGUCAUCCCACAUCAUUGUCAUGCCACCUCUGACGUCAUCGCACAUCACCUCGCGCGCGCUCUCCCGCCCGGCCGCCCGCUGGCCCCCCCAGGGCCUUCUCCG
RNAcentral lists this long non-coding RNA (1110 nucleotides) under Gallus gallus (chicken). RNAcentral describes it as "lncRNA (ENSGALG00010027411.1)". Lineage: Eukaryota; Metazoa; Chordata; Aves; Galliformes; Phasianidae. The record is from RNAcentral.